Ananas comosus (pineapple) is the source of this 2883-nucleotide long non-coding RNA. RefSeq lists it as uncharacterized. NCBI's taxonomy places the organism in Eukaryota, Viridiplantae, Streptophyta, Magnoliopsida, Poales, Bromeliaceae. The transcript has 2 exons. The record is from RefSeq and is a predicted model, not a curated record.
UCUUUUUACUUUCCCUGCCACACAUCCCAUGGACUCUUUUUUUUUUUUUUUUUUAACUUGGUAAUUACCCAAGACAAUAAUCUUGGAAAAAUAGAAAAGCAAAAAAACAUGCCCUAGCUAGCUAGGGUUUUUGGGAUUGCCAACUACUCACUAGCCCCCAUCACAGGUCCAAUAUCUAUCACCACAUCCCUCAUCCAAACCUAGAGAGAGAGAGAGAGAGAGAGAGAGAGAGAGAGAGAGGAUCAUGGGUAUUCUCAUAAUCAUGAUAAUUCUCCAUGUUGAUUAGAGGCACAAUUUUUGUGGCUGUAGUAGUAGUAGUAGUACUGCUACUACUACUACAACCAAAACCACCUUGGAUUUAUCUCUCCUUCCUCUUCAAACCUCAUGAUCAUCUCCUCCUAUCAACCCCCAUCAUCAUCAUCACCACCACCACCACCACCCACACAUCCCAUGUGUACUCCUCAUGGGUUUCUCCAUCCUCAUCAUUACCAUGCUACUAAUUCCAAAGGAGAUGUUGAAGAGGAGAGAGAGAAAGACCUAGAAAGAGAUGAAGAGACAAUUUAAGGAGGUGGUGUAGGAGGGGAGAGAGAGAGAGAGAGAGAGAGAGAUGUAUAUAUAGAGAGAGAGAGAGAGACAGAAGAUGAUGGUGGCCUUGUGAGGAGAACCUGGGAUUCUUGUCACUAUGUUCAAGUCAAAGAGGGCAUCAUCAAAACUACUCUUCACUCCUUCUGUGUACUACUUCUCGUGGGGAAUCAAGCCGUUUUGGUCCGAUCCAUACUUUGCUAUAUGCUAGCUAGCUACUUAUAUAUAUAUAUAUAACAAGUAGUUGUUAUUCCACUAUCUAUCUCCUAUGCAUCUGUUUUCUAUGGUUGGUAUCUUUAAUUUUUGUUUCUUUCCUUUAUUUCCAUUCUACUUGGACUUGUCAUGUCCCUAUUGAUCUUGUUUAUUUGAACAAGCUUUGUGUUGUGUUGUUGUUUGUGGGUUUUAUUCUUUUGGAGUUUUAAUUAGUUUGAUGAUUAUCAAAGACAUAUAUAUAUAUGUGUGUGUGUGAAUGGUUUAUUUGCUUUGCCUUUUUGUUUUCCUAUGAAUUGAUUACUUGGUUUCUUUUGGUUACUAAAAUUAGCUGAGAUAGAUAGAUAGAUAGAUAGAUGGAGAGAGAGAGAGAGAUCCUUUGCUAGAAACUCAGCAUUAAGUUAUUGCAAGUAUGAGAAGAACCACUAAUACAUGUAGCUAGAGCACUCUCAUGAGUCAUUUUUGUUUUCCUCAACAUAUAUUGCAUGCAUUUCUAUUGAGAGAGUGAUUAUCUACAAUUAUAUAUAAGGUCCUAUAUCUUUGUAUAUAGAUAUGUCCAAAUCUGUUGGGUUUCUAAAUAUGUGAGAGAGCAUGAGUGCAUAACAUGUAACAUGUAACAUGUAACAUGUAACAUGUAAAAGUGAAAGGCUCGACAAUUGUAAUGAUAACAUGGGUCAUAGCUCAAAAAUUGAUAACUUGUCCUGAUCUCCACUCUCAUGUGUCCUCUUUGGCUUAAUUAUUCUGCAACUUGCUUUUCCAAUGCAACCAACUGAUCCUGCUGGAAAACCCCACUUACCUCUUUGCAUGCCUUGAAAGAAACAUUUGACAUUGGUCCUCUGAUCAUGCUGUGGAUGAGAAGGCUCAGAUACGUCACAUGCUUGAAGUAAAGUAAUGGAUCAGAGAAAGAAAACAUGACUCAUCCUAUGCCCAAGCACAGGAUUUACAGUGGCUCCGAAGUGGGUUAUUAAUAGGAUUGAGGCCCUAAAACGAAAUUUCUUCUGGAAAGGGGGAAUGGAUGACAAGAGAGGUACACGUAUGGUGGCAUGGAAUUGUGUGUCCAGAGAAAAGAAUGAAGGAGGACUCUGGCGAAGGACCUCACCAUGAUGGAUGAUGCACUACUUUCGAAAUGGUGGUGGCAUUUUUUUAUCAAAGCAGGGCCUACAGUGGAGCAUUCUUAUUGGAACUCUAUAUUACAAGAGGAGGAAACCUUUAAGUGAAGGAAGAACGUUUUGACUUGUUUCACAAUGGUGGAAGAGUGUGCUUUCUACUAAAGAGAUUUUUAAAAGUGGCACAUGCUUUGAUCUCAGUGAUGGGCGGUCUAUUGACUUUUGGUCUGAUAGAUGGUGUGGUGACGCUCCUUUGAAAAUGCUAUUUUUUCGAUAUUUAUGAGAAAGUAGCUCAGAAGGGACUUUUAAUCAAGAAGUGUUGCUCCCUACAAGGUUGGAGAUGGAGAAAAAUCCUACGAGGAGCAGGGGUUGGGUUGUCGAGGGGUGAUUGCCGAAUUAGAGAAUUCAAGGAGUUUCUCUCAAGUUUCAACGUAGCAGACAGGCCGGAUGAAAUUCAAUGGAGAUGGCAUGCUGGAAAGCGUUUUACCGUUAAGUCUAUGUAUGUAUUGAUUCGAGAUGGGGGAAUACGAGAUUUUUUUUCGCUGAAGGUUUGGGAGUUGAAAAUACCAUCUAAAGUUAGAAUUUUUAUUUGGUUAGCACUUAAGAAGCACCUACCUACGUUUGACAACUUACUCAAAAGAGGCUGGUCCGGGAAUCAACAGCGUAUGAUAUGCAGCAACGAUGUUGAGACUGUUGAUCAUCUGCCUGUUGGAUGUGUAAUCAGCAGAUUUUUAAUAUUCAAUAUCCUAGAAGGUAGGCACAUCCUGUGGCCUGGGAUGGAUGUCAGGCGUGUUUGGGAACUUCUGGUUGGGGACCACCCCCGAGGGGCAACAGUGAGGGAUCUAAUCAGAGUCGCAAUCUGUUGGUGGAUGAUCUGGCAAAAAAGAAACGACAUAAUUUUUAGGAACUAAUCAUUUGACCUUUUUGUAACAAUUAAACGAAUCUGAGAAGUGAGCCAAAAAUGGGUUGAGUUUUGCAGCUUUUA